GGCUGAUCCAAAGUAGUAAGUCAUCUCCAUUGAUUGUUCAUUCAGUUACAUAUCAAACUCCUUGUUCUACUGUUUGCCCCCUUCUCACUACUGCACUUGAUUAGUCAGAA
Unclassified non-coding RNA from Aotus nancymaae (Ma's night monkey), 110 nucleotides. It matches the Rfam family "Y RNA". From Rfam's summary of the family: Y RNAs are components of the Ro ribonucleoprotein particle (Ro RNP), in association with Ro60 and La proteins. The Y RNAs and Ro60 and La proteins are well conserved, but the function of the Ro RNP is not known. In humans the RNA component can be one of four small RNAs -- hY1, hY3, hY4 and hY5. Lineage: Eukaryota; Metazoa; Chordata; Mammalia; Primates; Aotidae. The record is from Ensembl.